UUGUGGAAGAUGGCGCCUGUUGUGACAGGGAAAUUUGGUGAGCGGCCUCCACCUAAACGACUUACUAGGGAAGCUAUGCGAAAUUAUUUAAAAGAGCGAGGGGAUCAAACAGUACUUAUUCUUCAUGCAAAAGUUGCACAGAAGUCAUAUGGAAAUGAAAAAAGAGUGACCUGGAACUGGGCCCACUAACUUGGCUGUGACCUUUAUAUCCUUGGCCUCAGUGUUUUUUUGCCCACCUCCUUGUGUAUAUCUUAUGGGCAGUGGAUGGAAGAAAAAAAAAGAACAAAUGGAACGCGAUGGUUGUUCUGAACAAGAGUCUCAACCGUGUGCAUUUAUUGGGAUAGGAAAUAGUGACCAAGAAAUGCAGCAGCUAAACUUGGAAGGAAAG
Molecule: small RNA, 388 nt
Filed under: Pan troglodytes (chimpanzee)
Lineage: Eukaryota; Metazoa; Chordata; Mammalia; Primates; Hominidae
Description: processed transcript
Source: RNAcentral